RNAcentral lists this long non-coding RNA (404 nucleotides) under Cottoperca gobio. RNAcentral describes it as "lncRNA (ENSCGOG00000015473.1)". Lineage: Eukaryota; Metazoa; Chordata; Actinopteri; Perciformes; Bovichtidae. The record is from RNAcentral.
CUGGAGGGAAAGGACAGCCUGGAGGGCCUGGAAGAGAAGGACUCCCCGGCGGUCCCGGAUACUUCGGACUGAAAGGUGAGAGAGGAUACCCCGGGCUCCCCGGCUUGCCCGCUCCUCCUUAUCGAUCAGAGUUUGUGGAGAGAGGAGAACCCGGAUAUAACGGAGGCAGCGGCCUUCCUGGCUUCCCCGGACCCUAGAGGGGACAAGGGUCUGUCAGGUCUGCCUGGUCGUCAAGGUCUGCCUGGACUUCCUGGUUACGCUGAGCAGAGUAAAGGACAGCCGGGACAACCUGGGUAUCCCGGGCAACCAGGAGGUCCUGGCUACCCCGCACCGAAGGGAGAACCUGGAAUCAUGGGAUUCCCCGGCAUGUCUGGACCAAGGGGUGAUGAUGGUGGACCUGGUUU